This is a long non-coding RNA of Helianthus annuus (common sunflower), 2096 nucleotides long. RefSeq lists it as uncharacterized. NCBI's taxonomy places the organism in Eukaryota, Viridiplantae, Streptophyta, Magnoliopsida, Asterales, Asteraceae. The record is from RefSeq and is a predicted model, not a curated record. The transcript has 3 exons.
CUUUCAUUCUUUGACAAACGGCAAAGCCCAUGCAGUCAACAAUCGCUAGAUUACUUAAUCACGGUCGUAUAGAUCAGCGAAGGUAUGUGCCCCGGUGCUGCUACUUCUCAGCUCUGUUUUCCGCAACUCUUCGGCACUUGAUCAGGUUUUGGAGGAGACUGUUGAACUUUAUUUAGGUCUAACGAGGAUGCUCGUGAAAUCAACUGUUCAUCAAGAUUUAUGUCAGCUGUUUAGGGUAGAUAGCAUUCGUUUUUGCUCAACCUGGUAAUUCCUAUGGUUUUCUAAACUUUUAUGUUAGUUUUUGUAUGUGUUGGAUAACAUGUUUGUCUGUUUUUUUUUAACCAGGUGUGUUUACGAGGCUUUAAGAGUGCGAAAUCGUGCUGCAAAAAAGCAUGCAUUAGAAAUCCCAUUGAUAUGUGAUCAUCAAAAUAAUCCUAUAAGAAGCUGGGAUUGUGUCAAGGGUGUCCUAAAAAGUGAAGUUCGUCAUCCUCUUUUCUUUGCAAGUUCGCAAAGAAGAACCCUCUGCAGGGUGAUGAGGAGAUAUGGUUUGUUGGGUCUUUUAAGAAGGGGUGGGAAGACUAUUCUUCUUCCUCUACGCAAUGUAAGGUCUCCUAAUUAAGGAUCUCACUCAACGAACAAUCACUAGGUGUGCGGAAUCCACCUAGCAAUCACUAUCGUAGAAUAUUGGAUCAAGAAACAAGAGAAUGAGAAUGAUAUGAGAAUACACAAAGUAUUCUCAGAUAAUGAAGAUGAUGUCACACGCAGCAGCCGCCAAUGCACACACAGUAUAAUGAUUAGGGUUGCUUGAGGCACAAUCUUUCCACAAAAGAAGUCUCUUUGUUUUUCAUUUCACUAAAGAACAUAUAUAUAGGGAGAAGUCCUGACUACAAAAGUCAAGACAUAAAGGGCCCAAAGCCCAAAACAUGAAAACAUAAGUCCUGACCAAAGACUAAAUUCGGACUAGGUUAAACCUAAGUCCCGACUCCUACAAAUAAUACUAAAUUCGGACAUAUACAUAAGUUCUGACCAAACUUUAAUUUCUAUAAAUUACACAAAAGACCCUUAAACUUUGGAGAGCCAAGACUUAUCACACGAAGUGCAUUUACACACAAUAACCAAAAGAACAAGUUAGAAAAGAUAAAAGCGCAACGUUUAUUGGCUAGGGAGGAUGAAGAAAAAAAGGAAACGGGAAAGGGAAAUCAAAGAGGAGGAACAAAGGAUAAAAAAUUUAGAGGUACGGUGAACAGUAUGUUUCCAAAAGACAGACUGUGAAGAAAAACGUACCAGCAAGAGGAAGAAAGCAAAGGUGACUGAUCUGUACAUAAGGGAGUAUAGAGAGAGCUUGGCAGCUGAGGUAUGUUCUACAGCUGUCAAGCUCUCUCUAUAUUUACACUACGAAGCGAAAGAACAGAGAGGGCUAGGGGGCCGAAAAAGGAGGAGAAACUAGUCGAAUAAAAAAAUAAUUUUAGCAUUUUUUAAUAUUUGUCUUAAGUUGCAAUGGCUGCUCAACCCUUCCCCCUUCAAUUAGGCCAUCAUUUUGACCUAAUAAUCUUUUCUAAUGGCGCUUGGAAUGUUAUUCGUAAUCGGAAUCAAUAUACGUCUCAAUACACGGUGAGAGAAGCUGUCGCUGUCAGUUUCAAUCUCACAUUCGAAGAGCUAGCUAAUUUAGCUAGAGAAAAUAGUGUGCACUAUGGUACCGUUACACCGCUUCGAUUGACAUAUCGGCGGCGGGAUGAAGACGGCCACUGGCAACCUAUCACAAUUCGCACAGUAGACCAGUUCAACUACUUCAGAAACAUGGCAAGAACACAACCUGCCAAUAGAAAUAUGAGUCUAUUUGUUGAGGUUGACGUUGCACAUGUGGAGGGUGGAGGUGGAGCAGCGAAGGGUCAAGCAGGCAUGCUAUAGAGAUGUAAUUUUUAGAUCGUCUUUUGUUGUUAGAUGUUGAAACUUGAUGCUAGUUGCUAGUUGUCUAAUUUAGGCUCGCUGUAUUAGUUUAUCAUGCAUGUCAAGAAAUAGUAUGAGUUAAGAUAUAAUGUUUAUAACAAUUACCUUAAGAACCAGGCAACUUUCAAUCCGAAUGACCUGUUUGGCUA